RNAcentral lists this long non-coding RNA (1285 nucleotides) under Rattus norvegicus (Norway rat). RNAcentral's name for it is "long non-coding RNA NONRATT031383". Lineage: Eukaryota; Metazoa; Chordata; Mammalia; Rodentia; Muridae. The record is from RNAcentral.
UGCUUUUCUUUUUUUUUUUUUUUUUUAUUAACUUGAGUAUUUCUUAUAUACAUUUCGAGUGUUAUUCCCUUUCCCGGUUUCCGGGCAAACAUCCCCCUCCCGGCCUUUGCUUUUCUAAGCCAAGUGUAAUAUUCCUGUUGGAACAAGAGAAAGAGCCAUGGAGAGUGCGGACAGAGCUGACGGGCAGUUUGUCCACGGGUGAGUGCAGAGGAAAUGGACAGGCAGCCACCUCUGAUGUGACUGCUCAACCUGACUCAAGACAAUGUCUCUCUGUUCUUUUGUGUGGCGUGUUCCCAAAUGCGUGGGCCUGAAAGAAACUGGGCCUUCGAGGUCACAAUCCCCACGAUCACCUGACUCCUCUGUCGCCAUGCUCUGCCUGUUGGUCCCAUAACUCACUUCACCAUUGUCUGACUCCUGCUCUUUCUCAGGUCCGCAGUUCCCUUCCAGUUUGGAAAUACUCUUUCCCUGAUUUGAUGAACUCCAGGCCCACACCGAGAGUCAACAGAAUCCAGGCUCAAAUCCUGACUCAUGUAGUGAAAUCCUAGAAAAGUUGCCUAAUCUCCAUUUUGUCAUACCUAGAAUAAUUCUCCUGAAGUACCUUGAACCUUGUAUGCUGUGAACUCAGUGCUGUUCGCUCCGGUUAGUGUUGGCAGUGUAUCCACAAAUGCCUGGUCUUUCUGUCAGUCAGUCCAUCCUCUUCUGCUCCUCCAAUCAAUACCAGCGUUACUAACUAGCACCUCCCACACCACUCCUUCCUGUCUCCUCACCCCAAGGUACCAUACAUGUGUUACAUGUGUGUACAGAAAACCACACUGUUGGUAGGCUAGCAGCAGAGACAGCUACAGACAGCAUGUAUGAAGCGAAAGUGUGCCGUGCUGGAAACCCAGAAACAGACAGAAUUCUGGGUAGUGGGAAGAUGGACGGUUUUUAAGGAAAGCAAAGGCUGGGAGCCUGUGUAUGAGACUGAAGAGUUAAUCCCAAAGCAGGAACUCUAUGAAGAAGAGUCAUCCAGAAAGAUAAUAGAAGAACUUAGAAGUCUUGGCCUGGAGUAUCCCAGUUUGGUGGGAGAAUGGAGCCAGGGUCAUCAUUUCAAGAGGCAAUACGGGAAUUUAAAGGUUUGUCUCGGGGCUGGAGAGAUGGCUCAGCGGUUAAGAGCACCGACUGCUCUUCCAGAGGUCAUGAGUUCAAUUCCCAGCAACCACAUGGUGGCUCACAACCAUCCGUAAUGGGAUCUGAUGCCCUCUUCUGGUGUAUCUGAAGACAGCUACAGUGUACUUGUAUAUGA